GGCUCCUUGGAGCAGCACAGGGUGGGUAUUAAGCUGCCACAGCUCAGUUUUAACGCCUGCCAACUCUGACUUAAAUAGAAAUUCAACAUGCCGGGUGGCACCUGGAAGGAUCACAUCUGGGCAGGAGCAAAAGCAGAAGGUACGUACUAGGGGAAGUGUUAAAGUAGAAGCAAUUCUCCUUCCGCCGUGAUUGAAGUUGAAGAUGGGGAAAGCUGCUUGGUAUGUGGAUCUGCUGCCAGCUGUAGAAGAUGGCUGUGCUGCCCACAUUCUGCAGCUCCAGGUGAGCUGAGGCUAUUUUUCCAGUUACAACUUCAAAGUUUAUUGUAGUACUAAUUCCCACCUCCUUCUGCACACACACAUGCACACACACAUAACACACACAAACUUAAGAUCACUGAACUGGGGAAACUAAGCAAUACAGACUGACCAACAGAAGCACACAGGCCUCACAGACGAGGCCACAAACACACAAUUUAAUAUAUUUGACGAAACGAACAAAGAACAGAUGAAGAAUGAGUCCUUAGAUGGCAACAGGGGUGUAGGUGUUGACAGGAAAUUACGUAACACAACAACAAAGGACUAAAACAAAACGGGCCGGAGGGAUGAACUGCAACAGUACCUGGUUAGAGCUAGAGCUCCCGGUCCAACUAGCAAGUUGACCACAGAAUCUCAAAACAGGAAUGUUCAAAGUAUCCGACACAGCAUCGUCAGCCUGUGCCAGGUUAUCACUGUGGAGGUAAAUGAGAUGAUGGAUAUGAUGGAUAUAACACCUGUCACACAGACACUCCUACACCUCCUUACUGUGUAUAACAUGGUUUCACUUACAGUAUAUGCUGCAUACAGUAUGAUGCAUGUUACUGUAACACUGUUCACUGUGUUUGGAAAAUGACUAACAAAAGAGAAGCAGACGAGGGAGGCAUUUCUUACAGGUUCUCCUUUUUCAUUUCGCUGUGCUCCUCCGUCUGCGUUUCCACUACGGGGCUGGGGCCCACUGUGACAGCAGCUAAUGGUCUCCCACAGCCAAUCACCUCCAGUCCACUGAUGUCCUGUUAUCAAGGCGACACAGAGCGGUGCAGCUGUUUUAAAGGAGCAUGUGAUAUUUGGGUGGCCAUUCUCCACUGGAGGUUGAAGAGUGUUACCCACCGCCCUUCUGGGAAGCUGCCUGGCCCGUUCUACUGGCACCUAACAGAACAGCUGGAAGGACACCAUUACAUGUACUGUACGUGUCUGGUGAAACCUUCACCGUGACACAAUAAGGUGUUGUGUAACUCACUGCAACUGCUGGUUGACAUUGUAAAGUUUUAGUAUGUACUAUUAAAUUAUACCUGAUCCAGAUGU
Molecule: long non-coding RNA, 1338 nt
Organism: Betta splendens (Siamese fighting fish)
Lineage: Eukaryota; Metazoa; Chordata; Actinopteri; Anabantiformes; Osphronemidae
Exons: 2
Source: RefSeq, a predicted model, not a curated record